Long non-coding RNA from Trachemys scripta elegans, 172 nucleotides. RefSeq lists it as uncharacterized. The transcript has 2 exons. The record is from RefSeq and is a predicted model, not a curated record. NCBI's taxonomy places the organism in Eukaryota, Metazoa, Chordata, Testudines, Emydidae.
AGGCUCGGUAGCGUGAGCGCCGCCUGGGCUUCAUAUAGGGCGGGCUCCUGGCCACGUCAGCCAGCAGCCAGCCACCUGACCGGAGCCGCCCUGCGGCUGGGGCAGCUGCAAGGUGCUAGCAGGUAUGCAGAGGAUGAUUCUCUCUGAACAGGGCCGCCCCAAGCAACAAAAA